AGCGAACGCUGGCGGCAGGCCUAACACAUGCAAGUCGAACGAACCUUUCGGGGUUAGUGGCGGACGGGUGAGUAACACGUGGGAACGUGCCUUUAGGUUCGGAAUAACUCAGGGAAACUUGAGCUAAUACCGGAUGUGCCCUUCGGGGGAAAGAUUUAUCGCCUUUAGAGCGGCCCGCGUCUGAUUAGCUAGUUGGUGAGGUAAAGGCUCACCAAGGCGACGAUCAGUAGCUGGUCUGAGAGGAUGAUCAGCCACAUUGGGACUGAGACACGGCCCAAACUCCUACGGGAGGCAGCAGUGGGGAAUCUUGCGACAUGGGCGAAAGCCUGACGCAGCCAUGCCGCGUGAAUGAUGAAGGUCUUAGGAUUGUAAAAUUCUUUCACCGGGGACGAUAAUGACGGUACCCGGAGAAGAAGCCCCGGCUAACUUCGUG
This 433-nucleotide ribosomal RNA is filed under the name uncultured bacterium. Its description in RNAcentral is "partial 16S ribosomal RNA". It matches the Rfam family "Bacterial small subunit ribosomal RNA", at positions 29 to 507 of the family's 1533-position model. The record is from RNAcentral.